GACGAACGCUGGCGGCGUGCCUAAUACAUGCAAGUUGAGCGCUGAAGGUUGGUACUUGUACCAACUGGAUGAGCAGCGAACGGGUGAGUAACGCGUGGGGAAUCUGCCUUUGAGCGGGGGACAACAUUUGGAAACGAAUGCUAAUACCGCAUAAAAACUUUAAACACAAGUUUUAAGUUUGAAAGAUGCAAUUGCAUCACUCAAAGAUGAUCCCGCGUUGUAUUAGCUAGUUGGUGAGGUAAAGGCUCACCAAGGCGAUGAUACAUAGCCGACCUGAGAGGGUGAUCGGCCACAAUGGGACUGAGAAACGGCCCCAACUCCUACGGGAGGCAGCAGUAGGGAAUCUUCGGCAAUGGACGAAAGUCUGACCGAGCAACGCCGCGUGAGUGAAGAAGGUUUUCGGAUCGUAAAACUCUGUUGGUAGAGAAGAACGUUGGUGAGAGUGGAAAGCUCAUCAAGUGACGUUAACUACCCAGAAAGGGACGGCUAACUACGUG
Molecule: ribosomal RNA, 497 nt
Filed under: uncultured bacterium
Lineage: Bacteria
Description: partial 16S ribosomal RNA
Rfam family: Bacterial small subunit ribosomal RNA
Source: RNAcentral